AUUGAACGCUGGCGGCAGGCCUAACACAUGCAAGUCGAGCGGAUGAAGGGAGCUUGCUCCUGGAUUCAGCUGCGGACGGGUGAGUAAUGCCUAGGAAUCUGCCUGGUAGUGGGGGAUAACGUCCGGACACGGGCGCUAAUCCCGCAUACGUCCUUAGGGUGAAAGUGGGGGAUCUUUGGUCCUCAAGCGAUUAGAUGACCCUUGGUCGGAUUAGCUAGUUGGUGGGGUAAAGGCCUACCAAGGCGACGUUCCGUAACUGGUCUGAGAGGAUGAUCUGUCACACUGGAACUGAGACACGGUCCAGACUCCUACGGGAGGCAGCAGUGGGGAAUCUUCGGCAAUGGGCGAAAGCCUGAUCCAGCCAUGCCGCGUGUGUGAAGAAGGUCUUCGGAUUGUAAAGCUCUUUAAUUUGGGAGGAAGGGCAGUAUGUUAAUACCUUGCUGUCUUGACGUUACCAACAGAAUAAGCACCGGCUAACUACGUG
RNAcentral lists this ribosomal RNA (484 nucleotides) under uncultured bacterium. RNAcentral's name for it is "partial 16S ribosomal RNA". It matches the Rfam family "Bacterial small subunit ribosomal RNA", at positions 30 to 507 of the family's 1533-position model. The record is from RNAcentral.